CUGGCGGCGUGGAUAAGACAUGCAAGUCGAACGAUUAUCAUCGGGUAGCAAUAUUCGGUGGUGAGAGUGGCGCAAGGGUGCGUAACACGUGGGUAAUUUGCCGUAAAGUCUGGAAUAACUUGCUGAAAGGCGAGCUAAUACCGGAUGUGAUUGCUGGAGGGCAUCCUCUGGCACUUAAAGUCGGGGAUCGUAAGACCUGACACUUUUCGAUAAGCCCGCGGCCUAUCAGCUAGUUGGUGAGGUAACGGCUCACCAAGGCUAAGACGGGUAGCUGGUCUGAGAGGACGACCAGCCUCACUGGAACUGAGACACGGUCCAGACACCUACGGGUGGCAGCAGUCGAGAAUUUUUCUCAAUGGGGGAAACCCUGAAGGAGCGACACCGCGUGGGGGAUGAAUGGCUUCGGCCCGUAAACCCCUGUCAUUUGCGAUCAAACCUUACGGCCUAACACGUCGUAAGCUGAUAGUAGCGGAAGAGGAAGGGACGGCUAACUCUGUGCCAGCAGCCGCGGUAAUACAGAGGUCCCAAGCGUUGUUCGGAUUCACUGGGCGUAAAGGGUGCGUAGGCGGUCGGGUAAGUCUGACGUGAAAUCUUCAAGCUCAACUUGGAAACUGCGUCGGAUACUAUUCGGCUCGAGGAAUGGAGGGGAGACUGGAAUACUUGGUGUAGCAGUGAAAUGCGUAGAUAUCAAGUGGAACACCAGUGGCGAAGGCGAGUCUCUGGACAUUUC
This 730-nucleotide ribosomal RNA is filed under the name uncultured bacterium. RNAcentral's name for it is "bacterial SSU rRNA". It matches the Rfam family "Bacterial small subunit ribosomal RNA", at positions 36 to 739 of the family's 1533-position model. The record is from RNAcentral.